AGUAAUCAAAUAGAAGCUAAUGUAUAGGAAUUUCCAUCUCAAGAUUUAGAAGGUCUUGUGUUGGUAUAUUCCUUAUUAUUAUUAUUAUUUAAUAAAAGUAUUAGGGUUCGAAUCCAGGUGGCGGGGUUUUUCUUGGUUGAAUACAGAAAAAGAGGACUGCCUUUUUCGUGUUGUGCUUCGCUAGGUCGAGGUAAGUAAGGUAUACGAGGAAAAACCUAU
Molecule: long non-coding RNA, 219 nt
Filed under: Nicotiana benthamiana
Lineage: Eukaryota; Viridiplantae; Streptophyta; Magnoliopsida; Solanales; Solanaceae
Description: long non-coding RNA (NBEN_LNC009622)
Source: RNAcentral